GAAAUGCGAUAAGUAAUGUGAAUUGCAGAAUUCAGUGAAUCAUCGAAUCUUUGAACGCACAUUGCGCCCGCCAGUAUUCUGGCGGGCAUGCCUGUUCGAGCGUCAUUUCAACCAUCAAGCCCCCGGCUUGUGUUGGGGACCUGCGGCUGCCCGCAGGCCCCGAAAAACAGUGGCGGGCUCGCUGUCACACCGAGCGUAGUAGCAUACAUUCUCGCUCAGGGCGUGCUGCGGGUUCCGGCCGUUAAACGACCUUCAUAACCCAAGGUUGACCUCGGAUCAGGUAGGAAGACCCGCUGAACUUAAGC
RNAcentral lists this unclassified non-coding RNA (305 nucleotides) under plant metagenome. RNAcentral's name for it is "partial contains 5.8S ribosomal RNA, internal transcribed spacer 2, and large subunit ribosomal RNA". The stretch from base 1 to 105 matches the Rfam family "5.8S ribosomal RNA", at positions 50 to 154 of the family's 154-position model. The record is from RNAcentral.